CAUUCGAAUUUACCCCGCGGGAAAAUUUCCUCCGUCCCUCGAGUCGCGUCGCGUCGUUGCUCUGCCCACCACCACCGGCGACGCUGCCUCUCUGAGCGACCCUCCCUCAGCCCAAACCAAGAUUGCGCAAUUUGAAAAGGUAAGCGGAGACUGAUUUAUUCUCUGCCUUGUGAGGAUGUAAGUACCACGUAAUUACUCUACCCAGCAACGCCCCCGUCGACCCUCCCAUCCUCUCCCCGAGUCUCCUCGUGCGGCUUCCUCGCCCUCCCCGAGAUUUUCUUGGAUUUUCACUGCAAAUAGUUAAUACUAGUGAUUUACACUAGUAAAUCAGACAAGCUCAAGAAAUGGUUCUCGUUGAUUGAUGCGGUAACGUGGGUUCUACUAACUGUUAAAAAACUUCGAGAGUCUUCUCUUAUUAGCAGCGAGUUGCAUAGGACACUAUAUGGCUUUAUUCUAUUUGAAGUUUCAUGGAACAAUGUCCAAGGCAUCAACUACUUGAAUGAGCUUCAGGGAAGACACUACUUGCAAAAACACUAGCUCGAUUUGUGAAUGUGCCCUUUGUCAUCACUGAUGCAACAACUUUGACACAGUUGUGUCAAGAAGUGCUGCUGCAAGAUGGGUAGAGGAAAGAUUGAGAUCAAGAUGAUCGAGAACGUACACUACCAAUCGUCAAGUCACCUUCUGCAAGCGGAGAAAUGAACUCUUGAAGAAAGCUUGUGCUAUUGCUUGCUUGUCUCUUGCAGAGUAUAAUAUAUAGAAUGAACAUCACCUCAAUUUGACCCAGAAAAAAAUAUGAUAUAGCCAAUGGCUUCUAACAAAAGACAAGCAUGUCUGGGAAUGUUGAGAAGGCCAUCCAGAGAAGUUAUGGGCUCUUCCCUGCUAUGAAAAUCUUCAAGAGAUCUGGGUUUGAAUUAAGGUAAACAUUCCACCAAAUAUUUUGAAUGGCUUUGUGGCACUUCUUUCGGAUGGAGGAUUUUGACAAGAUUGGAAGCGAAGACAUGACCAGGAUAUAUUUUCAUUUGCUAUAUAUUUAGUUCUUGUAUAACUUUAAUUUUGGUAUGUGGUUGCUAAGCAUGCACUGAUUGUAAGUGAUUGUAAGAGGGAAAUAAAAGGGAAAUGAGACCUGUAAUAUACACAUUGUUUACUUUGUGUUUCAUUUGCUGUAAUAUUUGUGAGAUGAAUGAAAAAUAA
Long non-coding RNA from Juglans regia (Persian walnut), 1191 nucleotides. RefSeq lists it as uncharacterized. The transcript is spliced from 6 exons. The record is from RefSeq and is a predicted model, not a curated record. NCBI's taxonomy places the organism in Eukaryota, Viridiplantae, Streptophyta, Magnoliopsida, Fagales, Juglandaceae.